This 236-nucleotide unclassified non-coding RNA is filed under the name fungal sp. Its description in RNAcentral is "partial internal transcribed spacer region". The stretch from base 1 to 46 matches the Rfam family "Eukaryotic small subunit ribosomal RNA", at positions 1786 to 1831 of the family's 1831-position model. Lineage: Eukaryota; Fungi. The record is from RNAcentral.
AAGUCGUAACAAGGUCUCCGUAGGUGAACCUGCGGAGGGAUCAUUAACAAACACGGCGGCGCGCUUCGGCGCGCGGCGCAACCAUGUGCAACCGCGUGGGUAGCGUGCGACGGGGAGUCAGAGGCGGCCGGGCCGCCUUCUCCCCGCAGCAGCCAGCACACACAUACAUACACACAUCAUGUCUUGAACGAUGAAAGCAACGAAAUCAACUUUUAACAACGGAUCUCUUGGUUCUG